This 323-nucleotide ribosomal RNA is filed under the name uncultured Pseudodifflugiidae. RNAcentral's name for it is "SSU rRNA". The stretch from base 53 to 323 matches the Rfam family "Eukaryotic small subunit ribosomal RNA", at positions 684 to 955 of the family's 1831-position model. RNAcentral also lists the same sequence under 1 other name. Lineage: Eukaryota; Endomyxa; Gromiida; Pseudodifflugiidae. The record is from RNAcentral.
GAUUUCUGGUUUGAUGCGCCUGGCCCGCCUCGUAAGAGUGUGAGUGCCGGUGCGCGUCUGCCAUCUUUCCGCUUAAAGUGGCUGGGGAUUCAUUUCCUUUGGCUACUCAAGGCGGAUCAUUUACUUUGAAAAAAUUAGAGUGUUUAAAGCAGGCUUUUUGCUAUGAAUACAUUAGCAUGGAAUAAUAAUUUAGGACUUCGGUUCUAUUUUGUUGGUUUCUAGAUCUGAAGUAAUGAUUGAUAGGGAUAGUUGGGGGUGCUAGUAUUCAUCGGCCAGAGGUGAAAUUCUUGGAUUCGAUGAAGACUAACUUAUGCGAAAGCAUU